RNAcentral lists this transfer RNA (72 nucleotides) under Caudoviricetes sp. Its description in RNAcentral is "tRNA-Lys". It matches the Rfam family "tRNA". From Rfam's summary of the family: Transfer RNA (tRNA) molecules are approximately 80 nucleotides in length. Their secondary structure includes four short double-helical elements and three loops (D, anti-codon, and T loops). Lineage: Duplodnaviria; Heunggongvirae; Uroviricota; Caudoviricetes. The record is from RNAcentral.
UGCCUAGUAGCACAACGGUAGUGCAGUCGGCUUUUAACUGACAGGUUAUAGGUUCGAAUCCUAUCUAGGCAG